GAGGGCAUAGCUCAGUGGUAGAGUGCGUGCUUAGCAUGCAUGGGCUUCUGGGUUCAAUCCCCAGCACCUCCA
RNAcentral lists this transfer RNA (72 nucleotides) under Camelus bactrianus (Bactrian camel). It matches the Rfam family "tRNA". From Rfam's summary of the family: Transfer RNA (tRNA) molecules are approximately 80 nucleotides in length. Their secondary structure includes four short double-helical elements and three loops (D, anti-codon, and T loops). Further hydrogen bonds mediate the characteristic L-shaped molecular structure. tRNAs have two regions of fundamental functional importance: the anti-codon, which is responsible for specific mRNA codon recognition, and the 3' end, to which the tRNAs corresponding amino acid is attached (by aminoacyl-tRNA synthetases). tRNAs cope with the degeneracy of the genetic code in two manners: having more than one tRNA (with a specific anti-codon) for a particular amino acid; and 'wobble' base-pairing, i.e. permitting non-standard base-pairing at the 3rd anti-codon position. Lineage: Eukaryota; Metazoa; Chordata; Mammalia; Artiodactyla; Camelidae. RNAcentral also lists the same sequence under 1 other name. The record is from Rfam by way of RNAcentral.